ACACUAGUAAAUGGGUUUUUGUUAAACAAUUGAAGGAAGUGAAGACAUGGACCGGCUAAUAACGACAGUGCCAGGCAUGGAAACUUAUCUUCGAUGUCGAGAUCUUCCUACCUUUUGUCGAAAACUUGACAUUGAAGAUUCAAUUAUGAAGCUAAUCGUAAAACAGACAAGAAAGAGCCUUCAAGCCGAUGCCUUGAUACUCAACACCGCCGAAGAGCUCGAUGGGCCUAUACUGUCUCAAAUACGCACCAAAUGCUCUCGUGUCUAUGCCGUUGGACCCUUACAUGCUCAAUUAAACACUAGACUCAAUGCAAAACAUGGAGAGUCAUAUGAUCACAUAUCGAAUACACUUUGGGAAGUGGAUAAAAGCUGCAUCUUUUGGCUCAAUAAGCAACCGAAUCGAUCUGUUAUCUAUGUAAGUUUUGGUAGCAUUGCGAGCAUGUCAAGGGAGCAACUUGUUGAGCUUUGGUAUGGACUUCUUAACAGUAAAACGAAGUUCUUGCUUGUUGUAAGGCCAAAUUCCGUGAUUGGAAAAGAUGGUGAAGGGGAGGAUGUUGUAAUGGAGCUUAUGGAGAAGAGUAAGGAUCGAGGUUACAUUGUAAAUUGGGCACCACAAGAGGCAGUCUUGAACCACCCGGCCAUUGGCGGGUUCUUUACGCAUAAUGGAUGGAACUCGACUUUAGAGAGCGUUGUCGCAGGGGUGCCUAUGAUUUGCUGGCCUCAGUUUGCUGACCAACACGUGAAUAGUAGGGUUGUGAGUGUGGUGUGGAAAAUAGGGUUGGAUAUGAAGGAUGUAUGUGAUAGAAAGAUAGUGGAGAAAAUGGUAAAUGAUGUGAUGGUGGAUCGAAAGGAGGAGUUUGCAAAAUCCGCAUCUGAAAUGGCUAAGGUAACCAAUCAAAGUGUUAAUGUUGGUGGGUCUUCUUAUAGUAAUUUGGACUGUUUAGUUGAAGAUAUUAGAAUAAUGAGCUGGAAAAAACUCACAAAAUGAGCUUUGAACCACCCAGCCGUUGGCGGGUUCUCUUCAUUUUAAAUUUUUUUAUUGCAAUAUCUCUUUAAACAAAGUAAUUGAAUAGCAGUAAAACUUUUCAAAAUAUCCUUACAUGAUUGAAUAUCUUGAUCAAUUACAAUCACCAAUUUUUUUUAUUAUUAACCUUAAAAAGAUGUACAACAAUAGUUACUUAAAUCCUAUCAAAAUAUGCCAAUAAAAUAGGUAAAUUACAAACAACUCAAUUGCAAAUUGAGUUGUGACUAACUGAGUAAUUGACAAAUGAUGUAAGCCCCAAGACCCAAGAACCAGUUUCAGACUAAUGGAUGUGAUGAGAUCACAUUAUCUCAAAGCUCAACAAUAGUGUCAACAGCCAAACAAAUCAAAUCAAGAUUCAAUUAAAGACAAUAUUCGAGUAAGAAUUUUUUUCGAGGAAAGGGGGAUGAUAUAUGUACAGAUGGGAUGAAAUUUAUUAAAUUUCAUUCACCAAAGCUGUCAACUUUCAAGUUUAGGAAAUCAACAUACUUGCAACGCCUUUUUUGAUGCGAUCCAGGCAUAUCUAGGUUGAGAUUCUUCAUGGCGUUCGAAAUUUAUCUAUUUUGGAUUUGAUUGCAUUUCAGAUUAUGUCAAAAUCUAAGUUUCUUUCCUAACGUCUAGAACCUUAAGUCUAAUUCGCGACUUAAACAAACUUUACGAUACACUUCCAUAUUCAUCCGCCUCAACCUUUAUCAAUGACACUAACAUUCUCACCCUUUGACACUAACAACUAGAGUAUUAUCUUCAUAAAAUGAGCUAACAUAAAGAAGUAACAAGUAUCAAACAUUAUGAAUAAAUACUUAACAGUAAUAAGCAUGCAAAAGGAGAAGUCCCCUUCGAUGGUAGCAUCAAUACAUCCCCCCAAUAAACACAAUAGAACGGGAGCGGGCUUUUAUUUCUUUUCUUAAAAUGUGAAUGCAUGGUUUUUUUUUUUUUGCAUUAUAGGUAUGAAGUGGUUUUAAUAAUUAUUUUUUUUGCUCCACCCUACUCAUUAUAUAAAGUUAUUAUUUUACCCUACAUAUUUGUUGAUACAACAUACAACAAGGGAGGAAGAUAAGGAGGAGGUCAAGAUGGUGUAAUGGAGGCCAAUUCACCUAAAGAGGUUGAGAGUCGAAACAAGAACAAAAUGACAGACUAACCAAGAAGACAAUUGCUCAGUAACUCUAGAGUGCUAAUAAAAAGGAUCUUUUUGCAUCAUUCCUUAGAAUAUUUUUCUCUUGCCCACUGAUAUGACAUGGCUAGAUAAACAUUCAAUCCCACAAAAUAUGUAAAGGAUAUUUAUAGGCGUAUAUCAUGGGACCUGGGGCCUUAUCAGUAUGAGAUUAUUGUGCCUAAAUGGACUCCUUAUCAUAUAAAGAGUGCAUUCAUACUAAGAGAAUGUUAAUUCUUAAAACGGGUGAAUGGUUCCAUCUAAGAGGAACGAGUGGUCUAUUGAAGCGUUACUUCAAAUGAAGUCAACAAGAGGUCUAUGAUGCAUCUGAUAUUGACACGUGUCCGAGUGACGGAGGGGUAUAGCAAGAUUAAAAGAGUGAAAAUAUAAAUAUAUGUUUGAGCCUUGAAUUACAUAGUUAAGACUUAGUGGUUUCUGGCAAUGUUUUCAUAAUCGAACCUGUGAUCAAACCGAUCAGACCACCAAUUUGUAAUUUAUUUGAUUCAAUCGAUUAAAUCAAUUGAUUCAAUAAAAAAUAAAUUAUAAAUAUAAAAUUCAAUUAUUUAUAAAUUUUGAAAUCUCAUUAUUAAAGUUUUGUAAUUCCACUUUAAGAUUGUAUAUAGCCUAUUGAUUAAAAAUUUAUAAAUCCACCUUUAAAGAAUUUAAAAGUUCCUUGCGAAUAUGCAACUCAUCUCUUUUACUUUUUAGACUUAUAAAUUUCUCUUCCACUUUCUUUUUGUCAUUCCCUUUUCUCAUUUGUUCUAACUAUUCCGUAAAAAUCGGUUUUUUUCUAUUCAUUGCUUCUUCUCAAAUACCCAAAUCUCUUUCGUAUCAUUCCAAAUCUCAUGUUUUGCUUUUUCUUUCUUUGCAUAAAUAAAAUAUUAUUCUAAUCGAUUUUUUAUUCAAGUUUCUAAACCCUAUUUAAUUGAGUUUUAAUUGGUUCAUAAUGUUAGAUUUGUUGAAAGGUCAACAAAGGUAGGAAGCAACUUGUUAAAAAGGUUGAGCAAGUUGCACCGAAUGUUGAAAAGUUGAAUGGGAUAAUUGCAAUUUUGGUCCCUAAUUUUUUAGGCCAUUUGCAAGUUAGUCCCUGAACUUCAACUAUAAAUAGGCCUUUUCAUUUUUCAUUUCAACGAUCCCAACCAAUCUUUCUCUCUUAGUUUUCUCUCUUCUCCCAUUUGAGAAUUCUUAAGGAAUUCUAUUUGUUUGUAAUAUUUUGGAGAUAGUAAAGUUAUCAUCUGGUGUUAGUGCCCGAGGACGUAGGUAUAAUUUACCGAACCUCGUUAAAACUCUUGUGUUCUUUUUUUUCCUAUUUUUCUUUCAAUAUUUGAGGGUAUAAUAGUAGUAUUUAAUUGUGCUAUUAAAUUACUAUAGAAGGGAUAUUCUGACUAAGGAAAGACUUGGUAUUUAAGAGAUCAUUGUGAUCCACCUCUCUUCCUUGGGAAUUGAACUUUGUGUGAUUUUUUAGUACGAUAAUUUACACGCUUCCGACCCUAUUGGAACAACAAGUGGUAUCAGAGCCGAAGGUUAAUCGUAGUAUGCUCUGUGGUUGCAGUUUAAACUGAUCUUCCACAUCAGAAAAGUUUUCCUUAGGUAUAUUGAAAGAUUAUGGAGAAAACGGUCGGUGUAGGAGCUUCAACAUCGUCCAUGUGGACAAGACCGACAAUUGCAAAUGCAAGAUUGGCCGUGGAGAUCUUUGAUGGCACGGGCCAUUUUGGUAUGUGGCAAAGUGAGGUUCUAGAUGCCCUUUUUCAGCAGGGUCUAGACAUUGCCAUUGAUGAAGAGAAACCAGAUGAUGUACAGGAGAAAGAUUGGAAGGCGAUCAAUCGGUUGGCAUGUGGCACAAUUCGAUCAUGCCUUUCUCGAGAGCAGAGGUAUGCUUUUUCAAAGGAGACUUCUGCAAAUAAGUUGUGGGUGGCACUUGAAGAAAAAUUUUUGAAGAAAAACAGUCAAAAUAAGCUCCACUUGAAGAAAAGACUGUUUCGCUUCACAUACGUCCCAAGUACCACAAUGAAUUAUCACAUCACCAAAUUUAAUCAGUUAGUCACUGAUUUGCUGAAUAUGGAUGAGACAUUCAAAGAUGAAGAUUUGGCUUUGAUGCUGUUGGGGUCACUUCCUGAGGAGUUUGAGUUCCUAGAAACUACUCUACUUCAUGGCAGGAGUGAUAUAUCUCUGAGCGAAGUCUGUGCGGCCUUAUACAGUUAUGAACAGAGAAAGAAGGACAAACAGAAAAACUCAAUCAGAGAUACAGAAGCUUUAGUAGUCCGAGGUCGUUCAUACACUCGGAAGAAAACUCAAAAGGGGAGAUCAAAGUCAAAGUCCAGACUCGGGAAAGAUGAAUGUGCUUUUUGUCAUGAGAAAGGCCACUGGAAGAAAAAUUGUCCAAAGCUGAAGAAUAAGGGAAAAGCUGCUGUAGAUGCUUGUGUUGCUAAGCAUGAUACUAGUGACUCUGAACUAUCACUGGUUGCAUCAUCAUCGUCGUUCCAUUCAGAUGAGUGGAUAUUAGAUUCGGGUUGUACCUAUCAUAUGUCCCCUAACCGGGAGUGGUUCUCUGAUUUAGUAGAACUAAAUGGAGGAGUUGUUUAUAUGGGCAAUGACAAUGCCUGUAAAACUGUUGGGAUAGGUUCAAUCCAAUUAAAGAAUAAAGAUGGAUCAACCAGAGUUCUGACUGAUGUUCGGUACGUGCCCAGUUUGAAGAAAAAUCUCAUCUCAUUGGGAGCCUUGGAAUCCAAUGGUUCAGUUGUUACUAUGAGAGAUGGGGUUUUGAAAGUGACAUCUGGCGCACUUGUGAUAUUGAAGGGCAUCAGGAAAAAUAACUUGUAUUACUACCAAGGUAGUACAGUUAUUGGAGCAGUCGCUGCAGCUUCCGGUAACAAAGACUUGGACUCAAUGCAGUUGUGGCAUAUGAAGUUGGGACAUGCCAGCGAAAAAUCCUUGCAAAUUCUGGCAAAGCAAGGAUUGUUGAAAGGUGCAAAGGCUUGCAAAUUAAAAUUUUGUGAGCAUUGUGUUCUGGGAAAGCAAAAGAGAGUGAAAUUCGGCACUGCUAUCCAUAAUACAAAAGGUAUUUUGGAAUAUAUUCACUCAGAUGUGUGGGGGCCUUCCAAAACACCUUCGUUGGGAGGAAAACACUACUUUGUUACUUUUGUUGAUGACUUUUCCAGAAGAGUUUGGGUGUAUACCAUGAAAACUAAAGAUGAAAUGCUUGGAGUUUUUCUUAAAUGGAAAACUAUGAUCGAAAACCAGACUGGCAAGAAAAUCAAGCGGCUUAGGACGGACAAUGGAGGGGAAUAUAAAAGUGAUCCGUUCUUCGAUGUGUGCCAAGAGUAUGGUAUUGUUCGACACUUCAUAGUUAGGGAUACACCACAACAGAAUGGAGUGGCAGAGCGUAUGAAUCGAACAUUGCUGGAGAAAGUUCGAUGUAUGUUGUCCAAUGCUGGGUUGGGCAAGCAAUUUUGGGCUGAGGCUGUGACAUACGCUGGCCAUCUUGUUAAUCGUUUGCCAUCAUCUGCAUUAGAAAGAAAAACUCCUAUGGAGGUAUGGUCUGGAAAACCGGCUACAGAUUAUGAUUCCUUACAUGUGUUUGGAACCACUGCAUAUUACCAUGUGAAGGAGUCAAAGUUAGAUCCGAGGGCAAAGAAAGCUCUCUUUAUGGGAAUCACUUCUGGAGUGAAGGGAUUUCGUCUUUGGUGCUUAAGCACAAAAAAAUGAUCUAUAGCAGAGAUGUUACCUUUGAUGAAUCUGCCACAUUGAAAAAGGUAGCAGAUAAAGAUAUUCAGACGAGCAAUACUCCACAGCAGGUGGAGUGUACUCCAAAACAGGUGGAGUUUGAGCAGAUGGGGAUUUGCCCAGUUAAUAAGUCUAAUUCUCCAGCCACAAUGGAGGAAUUAGAGGUUGAAGAGGUUCUGACCCAAGAACCACUAAGUACACCAGAACCAGUUGCAGUUGCAAGGCCACGGAGAGAAAUUCGUAAACCUGCUCGAUUUACUGAUAUGGUGGCCUACGCCCUUCCCGUUGUUGAUGAUAUUCCUAUCACUUAUCAAGAAGCAAUGCAAAGCUUAGAAAGUGAUAAAUGGAAAAGCGCCAUGGAUGAAGAAAUGCAGUCUCUCCUGAAGAACAAUACUUGGGAGUUGGCGCAAUUACCGAAAGGUAAAAGGGCAAUCGGAUGCAAGUGGGUAUUCGCAAAGAAAGAUGGAUCUCCUAGCAAGAAGGAUAUUCGCUACAAGGCAAGAUUGGUAGCUAAAGGCUACGCUCAGAAGGAGGGAAUUGACUACAAUGAUGUAUUUUCCCCUGUUGUGAAGCAUUCCUCCAUUAGAAUUUUGUUGGCCUUGGUAGCACAGUUGAAUUUGGAGCUAGCUCAACUUGAUGUUAAAACGGCUUUCUUGCAUGGUGAGUUAGAAGAGGAGAUCUAUAUGACUCAGCCAGAAGGAUACACAGAUGCUGGUGGUAGAAAUUGGGUUUGUAAGCUUAACAAAUCGCUAUAUGGAUUGAAGCAAUCCCCGAGGCACUGGUACAAGCGAUUUGAUAGCUUUAUGAGAAGGGAGAAGUACACAAGAAGCAAAUAUGACAAUUGUGUAUAUUUGCAGAAGCUGCAUGACGGAUCUUUCAUUUAUCUACUCUUGUAUGUUGAUGAUAUGUUAAUCGCUUCGAAUAGCCAAAAUGAGAUAGAUAAACUGAAGGCUCAGUUGAAUCAAGAGUUCGAGAUGAAAGAUCUAGGUGAGGCCAAGAAGAUUCUCGGCAUGGAGAUAAGUAGAGAUAGACAGAGAGGCAAGCUUUGUUUGAAUCAGAAGCAAUAUCUGAAAAAGGUAUUACAAUGUUUUGGUGUAAAUGAAAACACAAAACAUGUAAGUACCCCACUUGCUUCUCAUUUGAAACUUAGUGCUCAAUUAUCUCCGAAAACUGAAGAAGAAAGAGAAUAUAUGGCAAAAGUCCCAUAUGCUAAUGCAGUUGGGAGUUUGAUGUAUGCGAUGGUGUGUACGAGGCCUGACAUUUCACAAGCUGUUGGAGUUGUGAGCAGGUAUAUGCAUGAUCCUGGAAAAGGACAUUGGCAAGCUGUGAAAUGGAUUCUACGGUAUCUUCGAAAAACCGUAGAUGUUGGUUUAAUUUUUGAACAGGAUGAAGCACUUGGUCAGUUUGUAGUUGGAUAUGUUGAUUCCGACUUUGCUGGUGAUUUAGAUAAACGUCGUUCAACUACGGGGUAUCUGUUUACUCUUGCGAAAGCCCCAGUGAGUUGGAAGUCUACCUUACAGUCUACAGUAGCUGUGUCUACUACAGAGGCAGAAUAUAUGGCAGUUACAGAAGCUGUUAAGGAGGCUAUUUGGCUUAAUGGAUUGUUGAAAGACUUAGGAGUUGUUCAAAGUCACAUAAGUUUAUAUUGUGACAGUCAGAGCGCUAUUCAUUUAGCGAAAAAUCAAGUCUAUCAUUCAAGAACCAAGCAUAUCGACGUAAGAUAUCACUUUGUGCGGGAAGUCUUUGAAAAAAGGAAAAAUUCUACUUCAGAAGAUUCCGACAGCAGAUAAUCCCGCAGAUAUGAUGACCAAGGUGGUAACAACAAUCAAGUUUAAUCAUUGUUUGAACUUGAUUAACAUCCUGAGAAUUUGAGCACCUUUAGGUGUAUGGCGCUCGAGAGCGCAUUUGGAGGCACUACAAAAGAUAACUUUAUCGAAUUUGGGGAGUUGAAGGAAGUGUGUGAAGAUGUGAUUAUCCUAAUCAAAUCUUCAAGGUGGAGAUUGUUGAAAGGUCAACAAAGGUAGGAAGCAACUUGUUAAAAAGGUUGAGCAAGUUGCACCGAAUGUUGAAAAGUUGAAUGGGAUAAUUGCAAUUUUGGUCCCUAAUUUUUUAGGCCAUUUGCAAGUUAGUCCCUGAACUUCAACUAUAAAUAGGCCUUUUCAUUUUUCAUUUCAACGAUCCCAACCAAUCUUUCUCUCUUAGUUUUCUCUCUUCUCCCAUUUGAGAAUUCUUAAGGAAUUCUAUUUGUUUGUAAUAUUUUGGAGAUAGUAAAGUUAUCAUCUGGUGUUAGUGCCCGAGGACGUAGGUAUAAUUUACCGAACCUCGUUAAAACUCUUGUGUUCUUUUUUUUCCUAUUUUUCUUUCAAUAUUUGAGGGUAUAAUAGUAGUAUUUAAUUGUGCUAUUAAAUUACUAUAGAAGGGAUAUUCUGACUAAGGAAAGACUUGGUAUUUAAGAGAUCAUUGUGAUCCACCUCUCUUCCUUGGGAAUUGAACUUUGUGUGAUUUUUUAGUACGAUAAUUUACACGCUUCCGACCCUAUUGGAACAACAAGAUUCUAUAUCAAACAUAAAAUCUUGAAUACUGUUAGAUUCUAUAUCAAAGAUAAAAUCUUGAAUACAAAGAAGAAAACAAUACAACUCAAAAACCUAUCUUUCUAGGUGCAUAAUGAUGAACUAUAUAAAUGAAGCCGAUAACUGUAUAUAACUGCUAACAGUUAUUAGCUACUAACAGCAGCAACAAUCUUCUAACAGUUACAACUGAAAGCAACAGACUUUAACAGACUGAAGUUAAUGCGACUUUAACAGACUGAAGUUAAUGCUUAACUCAGUUACACUCUAACAUUCUCCUCAUUUUCUUUUUUUCUUGAAAAUUCGAGAGCCUCAUUGAGCGUGACAACUCGAAGUGCUUUGCGAAAAACCUCAAACUGCUUGGGUGUAAUUGGUUUUGUAAGAACAUCUGCAAUUUGUCCCGAUGAUGGAACAAAAUUUACUUGCAAAUCUCCGGUGAGGAUCUUCUCCCGAAUAAAAUGGUGGUCAAUUUCUACAUGUUUCAUUCGUGCAUGGUGGGUGGGGUUUGCGGCUAUUGCAACUGUUGACGUAUUAUCGCACCAGACUACAGGUAUCGUCUGUGACACACCAAUCUCAUCAACUAAUUGUUUAACCCACAAGAGCUCGGACACACAGUUGGCGAGACUUCUGUAUUCUGCUUCCGAGGAUGAUCUGGACACCACACUUUGUUUCUUAGAACACCAUGCAACAGGGUUUGACCCAAGAUAUACGACAUAGCCAGUGGUGGACCGUCGAUCUUCAACAGAUGAAGCCCAGUCUGCAUCUGAGUACCCAACGACCGCAAUAUUUCCUUUUGUGAAAAACAACCCAUGAUCACUGGUUCCAAUAAGAUAUCGUAACACACGUUUGACUGCCCUCCAAUGAGUCUCACUUGGGCAAUUCAUAUACUGGCUCAACUUGUUAACACAAAAGGACAGUUCUGGUCGAGUGAUGCACAGAUAUUGGAGCAUCCCUACUACACUUCGAUAUAAGGGAGCCUCAAAAAACACAGGACUGCCAUCUGAUAUAGUUAGCUUUGGAGUACCUACCAUAGGUGUAGGAACAGUUGCAGCUCCUAUCAUACCAGUUUUGGUGAGGAUUUCUAACACGUAUUUUUUCUGAUUAAGUAGCAUCCCAUUCGGCACACGCUUGACUUCAAUACCUAAGAAAAAAUUCAACUGUCCCAUGUCCUUUAGAGCAAAACGACUAUGAAGCUGUCGAACUAUACUGUCCACUUCUAUAUCCAAACUACUCGUAAUCACAAUAUCAUCUACAUACACGAUAAGCAGUAUCACACUUCCUGAUGAUGAGCGAAUAAACAAAGAAGUAUCAGCCUUGGAAGUUUUAAAGCCAAGAUGAGUAACUAAAUACUGUUUAAGUGUAUGAAACCAUGCUCUGGGAGCUUAACGCAAGCCAUAAAGAGCCUUGUUUAGCCUGCAUACAAGCUGCUGUCCAUUUUCACCAGACAUCUCAAAGCCAGGUGGCUGCUCCAUAUAGAUCUCUUCUGUCAAGUCACCGUUCAGAAAAGCAUUAUUGACAUCUACCUGCCUUAACGUCCAUCCUCUCAUAACCGCAACAGCAAGAAUGACUCGGAUGGUUGUGGCUCGGACCACUGGGCUAAACGUGUCACAAAAAUCAACUUCAGUAUUCUGAGAGAAACCUUUUGCCACUAACCGAGCUUUAUACCUGUCUACAGUUCCAUCAGCUUUUUUCUUUACCUUGAACAACCAUUUGCAACCCACAGCACGACGAUUAUCAGGAAUAGGGCACAAAGUCCAGGUUUUGUUGUUAUGAAGUGCCUGGAGCUCGUUGUGAACUGCGACCUGCCAAUGUUCACUCUUCAUUGCUUCAUGGAUGUCCACAGGUGUAUCACUUGAUGAACAGACUGUUGUGGCUAGGUAAGCUUUAGGUUUAAAUAUACCUGCUUUACUACGUGUGACCAUGGUAUGAGUAUUGGGUUGAGUAAUGGCUUGAACAGCAACAGGUGAAUUACAUCUAGACGAUGAACCUUGUAAGGAAGCUCCAGGUGUACAAGGGACAGAUGGGAUGGGUGUAGACUCUAGAGAAUGAUAUGAUGGGUUAGGUAGAGUAGGAGCUGUAGAGUUAGAAACAAUAUGAGUGGUAUGAGUUGUGGUUGAUGAGACACGUGAUGAAGAACGUGGGAGUAUGACAAGCAACUUGGAGCUAGGUUUUAAUGAGUCUAUGGUGGUGGGGUCAGGCUUGUGAGGUGUGUUUUUAAAAGGAAAUGUAGUCUCACAAAAAGACACAUGUCGAGACACAUACACUUUGCCAUUAGCAUCUUGACACCUAAACCCUUUAUGGAGAGGAGAAUAACCUAAGAAUGUGCAGGGACUGGAACGAAAUUGUAGUUUAUGACUGUUGUAUGGCCGAAGAUUUGGAAAGCAUAAGCACCCAAAAACUCGAAGGAAGGAAUAGUCUGGCAUAACCUGAAACAGUUUUUCAUAAGGUGACACAUUACCUAGAGGUGAGGAAGGUAGUCUGUUUAUCAAGUAUACAGAACUGGUAAAAGCAUCAUUCCAGUAGGAUAAUGGCAUAGCAGCAUGGGCUAACAUGGACAAACCAACUUCAACAAUCUGUCUAUGUUUUCUUUCAACUAACCCGUUUUGUUUCGAGCUAUAAGGACAUGAUACUCUCUGCUGAAUGCCUUGUUGAGCCAGAGAAUUCCUUAAGGCCUGAAAUUCGCCACCUCCAUCGGUUUGUAAAGCAAGUAACUUGCAACCAAGAGAUCGUUCUGCUUGUUUAUGAAAAAGCGGGAACACAGUCAGCACUUCAGAUUUUUUCUUUAAAAAAUAAACCCAUGUGUACCUAGUACACGCAUCAGUAAACGCUACAUAAUAACGAAAACCAUUAGAAAGAAUCGGGGCAGGACCCCAAACAUCUGCGAUUAUCAACUGUAAUGGUUUAGAAUACACAGAAGUAGCAUUAGAAAAUGGCAGCUUGCAUUCUUUGCCUAAGUGACAAGCAAUACACGAAACAGAAUCAGUAGCUGAGCUAAAGCCAAUAUUACAUCGUCGUAAUGCCUUCUUAAGCGUAGCAGUACAUGGAUGACCAAGCCUAGAAUGCCAUAGGCUGAGGGGAAGGAGUUUAACACCAGCACAACAGUGAAACUUAGUAGAUACAUCAACUGGAUGAGACGAGCCAGCUGAGUCUAGCUUGUACAGCCCACCAUGCACAGACCCUCGGAGAAGAACCUCAUUGGUUUGAAAAUCUCGAACACGGCACUGUGUAGGCAAAAACUCAAACAUCACUCUAUUAUCUUUAGUAAACUUAGACACCGAUAACAAAUUUUUGGUUAUCCCAGGCACACAUAGCAGAGACUUCAGAAACAGUGAACGUGAUCGAGUACGAAGAGAAGACUGACCAGUUGACCUGAUAGAUAGCGCAUGCCCAUUACCCAUAUACACCUUACCUGAGCCAUUGUACGGUGAACUGUCACUCAAAGUAUUAGGGGAAUUGGUGAGAUGAUGCGAUGCGCCUGAGUCUGGAUACCACGCAUUAUCUGCCACCGUGUCAGGUGUAGCAAUAAGAGCCUGUGAUGGCAUGGACGAUGGCCCUGGAGCAGUUGUGCUGAUAUGCUGCAUGGGACUAGUAGAAACAGGAUUAGACCACAACGGAGUAGGCGUGGGAGAGACAUACCAUUGCUGUUGUGGAUAGGCAGGCAUCCAGGGCUGAGGCGAAACACCAUUGCCUACCAUGCACACAUUUGCCUGAGGGGUGGGAGGUGGUCUAUAGUUUGUACUUUUGUAGGUGGCAUCGCAACGGUAAUAACACCGGUCAACAAGAUGACCAGCCUUCCCACAUAGCUGACACUGAAACCGGGAGCCUGAAGAACGCCCUCGUCCACGACCACGAGAUCCUGAUGAGGGUCGAUAUGCUGGUAAUGAGGGAUUAUCGUCAGUAGAACCAUUAGGUUGAUGUGUAACCAUGUUGGCAGAACUUGGAACAUCAUGAGCAACUAACUGCUGACGUGCUUCAGCAUCGAGUAACAUUAUAGUAACACUCUGAACAUCAUAAGGGAUUGGACUGGCAGUGAUGAUUGUGAGCACUGAUUCAUAUUCAGAGGAUAAGCCAUUGAGAAUGGCUGUAACAUGCUCUCUGUCACUGAUCGUUUCUCCACAGCUAGCAAGGCUAUCACAGUAGCUUUUAAUUUUCAUUAAAAAUUCCUUCAUGGACAAAUCAGCCUUACGCUGUGAAUGCAAUGCCCUCCUAUAGAACAUUAACUGAGAUGUAGUUUUGUUGCCAAACAAUCGAACAAGCGCAUUCCAAAUCUGAAGACUCGUAUCAAGGCCAAUAAGAUGAGGAAGAAUCGUAGGACUCACCGAUGAUAACAACCAUGACGCAAGAGCACAAUCUUGCUGUUCAAAACGAGCAAACUCCGGAUUAUCUUGCGAGCCACUAUCAUUAUCAAGAAGGAACUGAGGAGGAGGAACAAACUGAGGAUCAAGAAACCUCUGAAGUUUAUACGUUUUUACCGAUAACAGAACCUGCUGACGCCACAACAAGUAAUUAUGAUCAUCAAGAAGUACACUGAUCUUCUUGGUAGAGAAAAACCGACUGUCAAUCAUUUCAUCUGGUAGAACAGAUGCCAUUGUUGGUGUAAGAGACUGAACUGCAGAAGGGCUGGAAGUGGAAGUCAGAAAGACUAACUCCGGAACGAACCUACUUCUGAUACCAUGUUAGAUUCUAUAUCAAAGAUAAAAUCUUGAAUACUGUUAGAUCCUAUAUCAAAGAUAAAAUCUUGAAUACAAAGAAGAAAACAAUACAACUCAAAAACCUAUCUUUCUAGGUGCAUAAUGAUGAACUAUAUAAAGAGACUUAUGAAGCUGAUAACUGUAUAUAACUGCUAACAGUUAUUAGCUACUAACAGCAGCAACAAUCUUCUAACAGUUACAACUGAAAGCAACAGACUUUAACAGACUGAAGUUAAUGCGACUUUAACAGACUGAAGUUAAUGCUUAACUCAGUUAUACUCUAACACAUAACAGUUCGUUUAUUAUGUAUUUUAAUAAAAGAGUGUUGGAUCGUCAGAUCUACUAAUUUUCAAUCCAAUCAAUUUAAUUAAUCAACACAAUUCAAUUUCAACAAUAUUAAUUUAUAAUUUCUAGUUGCUAAUAUAAGAAAAUUAAGAUAAAUUAAUUGUUAGGAAAUUUUUAAUUUUUAAGGUAAAUUCAAUUCCUAUUUACUUGGGAGGUUAUCCCAAGUAAUCAAAAUUAUGUGUAAAAUAUUAAAAAUAAUUAAGAAAAAUCAAAAUGAAACAACGUAUGGUAAAAUGAGAAUGGAUAUAUUUAAUAUCUAUAAUGGAAAUAAUAAAUUAUAAAAUUAAAUAUUCAUGAUGGAACGAAAUAGAUAAUAAAAUAAUUAAGAUUUAACAAUAUUUGCUAGGUGUUGUUACAUUUUCUUCCCAGUGGAGAGCAAUGUUAUGUUGCCUUUACUUUUUGGACCAACAAUUGAGAAGUCGCUUUUGUUUGGGAUUUUCUUUUUCCAGAAAUGGUGCAUGAAAGGGUCUGUGAAAAUGGGAAAAUUGGCUAAAUCAUGUGACAGUGUCGGUGGCCCUUAUUUUUGCAAUUAUGAUAAAAUCAUGUUGUAAUAAACAAUUGCAGUCACGUGACAUGCAAUAAGGUGUAAUCUUUCUGUUUUUUUUUUUUUUAUUGCAAGUUUUAAAAGUACGAGUUUGACAUACGAUUACAGUAAAGUAUUUAUAAAUAAAUUGUCUUUUGUGCUCAAUCUUUUAGAAUAUCUUGAAUCUCCGUAAGGGCUAUGGAACGUAUGUAAAACUUCGUCAUUUAAGAGUCAUUGUUCCUAAUGCGUCUAUAAUUUUAUUAUUCUUUUUAGGAAUAUAUCUUAAUGACCAUUUCUUUUCGUUGUUAAAUUCUCUUAAUUAAAGUAGAGGUAGUUUUUUCAGGCUUAUUACCUCUAAUAGCUGCUAUGAUUUUAAUAAUAUCAAAAUGAAUGGUAACAUCAUCGUAUCCUUGUUUUCUAAGUAUGUGUAAGCCGUCCAAUAUGUCUCAAAGCUCAGCAGUUACAACUAAACACUUCUUCAAAAAGUGAUUAUUUCUAGAAUCCAAUUUCCCUUCCCAUCACAUAUUAUCCCACCUGCAGCGGAAAAAUUAGAAAUAAAAUUAACGACACCUUCAGUAUUAUGAAGAAAACCCAUACCUGAUUUCGAACUUUCAAAAGACUAUUGCGGAUCCUUCACCAAGACUUUAUUAUUGACUAAAGAAUAUUGCUUUGCUCAACUGUAAGAAACCUUAAUAAUUUCCUCUAGAUUCAUUGAUUUUCCUUGAAAGAUAACAAGUUACGAUUUUUCCAGAUACGCAAAAGUAUUAUCCCAAAGAAGCAAGCUCAGACCGAAUCUCUCGUAUUAUUAUCUGAUUCUAAAAUAUUACUUUCAAAGAUCCAUUUAUUUUGAUUGGAGGAAAUUAUUUUAGUCCAAAUAUCCUUCGAACGUGAACAGCCCCUAAAAACUAGUAAAACAUCCUCUGUAUGGUGACCACAAAAAUGACAUGACUCAUCAUGACCAAUUCCCGUUCGGACCCUUUCAGAUUUGGUUAAAAGUCUUUGAUAUAGGAUUAUCCAGAUGAACAUGCGACGGUGUACCAACGGAGCUCGUGGAAGAGACAAAAGAAAGAGGGUACAUAGUGGAUUGGGCGCCACAGGAAGAUGUCUUGGCCCAUGGGGCAAUCGGUGGGUUUUUGACUCUUAGCGGAUGGAAUUCGACUUUGGAGAACGUGACAGCGGGGGUGCCUUGCUUUGCUGACCAACAAUUGAACAGUGGUUUGUGGAGGAAGUAUGGAAAUUAGGAUUAGAUAUGAAGGAUGUGUGUGAUAGAAGUGGAGCAAAUGGUGAAUGAUUUAAUGGUGGAAAAAGGGGAGGAGAUUUUGAAAUCAGCUGAUGAAUUUGCUAAAUUGGCUAAAGGAUCUGUGAAUGUUGGUAGGUCUUCGUAUUAUAAUUUGGACUGUCUAAUUGAGGACAUAAGAAUGAUGAAUAAAAAUUGUUAAAAAAGUGAAAUUUUGAGAUCGGGACAACAAAAUGAGGGGCCUUUCCCAUCCCCACUUUUUUUAUUAAAUUAUUUCCUAGGUUCCUGCUAAUUUCGAAUUAAACAAUUUGACCCUAAUUUCUUUAAUUACCUCUUACAUCUUUGUCAACUUUUAAAUUAAUAAUCGUAUUUGUUUGCUUUUAUACUAAUAUAUGAUUUUCAAUUGAUAAGAUAAAAAUAUUAAAAAUUAAUUUAAAUUACUAAUAUCUCGUAUUAAUUGAUACGAGUGAUGAUAAUUAUUAAUAUAAAUCGAUAUUGAUUGAAAUUAAUUAAAACAUAUUAAUUUUUUUAUUAAAAUUGAACUUAAAUUAUUUGGUAUCAAAAUGGUGGGGACUAUUAUCCUUAAUGUUUUAUCUUGAUUCUGUCCUUGCCCGAAGUAGCUAGUGAAGGGGAGUAAAGAUGUUUCGUAUAGGAAAAUUGCUUUAACGAAAAUGGUGAAUGAAAUUGAUGGUUGAAAACAAAGAAGAGAUUGAGAAAUCAGUCGGCGGCCCUUGCUGCAAUUUCGAUUGUUUUAUUAAAAACAUAAAAGAACAUGUUGUAAUUAAUUAACUUGCAGUCACAUGGCAUGCAAUAAAGAUGGAUUUUUUUUAUAUAAAUUAGAUACAAGGUUAUUAAAUAUUAAUAAAUUUAUAUUUUGAUUAAUUAACUAGAUAUAAAAUAAUUACUAAAUUAUUUAAAAGAUUUUAUUUAAGUCAUUAGCUUUAAGUUUGGUUUACAAGCUUCAAACAACAAUUCGACGAAUAAUAUGGUAGAUCAGUAUCCAUUAAGAAAUAGAAGAAUAUAACUUAGAACCAAGUCGACCUGACAAUCAGUGUUGGAAAUCGAAGAAAAAAGUUAUUUGGAUUUUGGUUUGUAAAUAUGAAAAGAAAUUGAACCGUAAAAGAGAAGGGGAAGAAAAGUUUUCAAUUUGUACAAGCGAUGCGAACGGAAAAAACUAUACAAUAACGAUUUUAACUGUUAAGUAACUUAAAUAAAAACUUCGAAUAAUAUUAUUACUAUUUUAUAACUUUAUAAAUUCGAGUGACCAAUAUAUAAUUUAACUAGUAGUUUUUAUUUAUGGUUUUGAAGCCUACAUUAUUUUCAUUCAAGCUUUUGUUCAUUGUUUUGAAGGUUUUAUUUGGUGUAAUAUUUUAAUUAUGCUCAACAAUUUCAAUAAUAUUAUUUACAUUAAUUGCAUGAAAUAAAAAAUUACUUUUAAUGAAAAAUAAAUAAAUAAAAUCGUUCAUUAAUUUAGGUGAGUUGAAAAUAUGUAUUAGAAAACAAAAAUAAUAUUAUAACCAUAUUUUCUCUUAAAACUUAAAAAAAAUUAAAACAAAAUUAAUUUACCUAUAUAUAAAUUUUAGCCCCAAUAAAUUAUAAUACAACUUUUAAAUAAAUUCUUUAGAUUUUUUUUUUAACAAUUUGUCAUAUUCAGAAAAUAAAUAUCACAUCAAGCACUUUAAAAAAAAAGAUAGAAUGUAAUAAUCUAAAAAAGAAAGGGAAAGUUAUUAAGAAUAUAAGCAAGUGCGCCACACAUCCAAUCACAUGUCUUUUACGAAAAGAGUAAUGAAACCAUAACAAGUGGUAUCAAAGCAAUCCUUGACUGUCCAAUUUCACAAUAAGCAUCUCAAAAAGUGGGAUGACAUAGUGGAUCAACUGUGACACAGUAGCUUAUAACUAAGACGUCACGAGAUUAAAUGGGAGAAAAUGUCCCACCAAACACUUUAAAUUAAAGUAGGCAAGAUGCAAUAAUUCCACAUUGGAAUGGAUGUGGAAAAUAAGGUCAUCGAGGAUAGGUACAUGGGCGUAGCUAGAGGAGCUGAAAAGGGCCUUAAUUCCCCUAAAUUGAACUUUUUUUCGUGUAGGUCUUUUAAAUUUUUAAAUUAUAAGAGAUAAUAUUACAUUUUAACCCCAUAAAAAUGAUAAAAUUUUAAUUUAAUUUUUAAAAAUUAUAAAAAUAUAAACUAUUAAAAAUAAUAAAAUUAUAUUUUUAUUAUUAUAAAAAUUAUAAUUUAAUUUCAGGCAUGCUUUACCCUUGGAUAGAUAAGAGCCUAACUGGUUUCCUAAGAACGAUAAAUAUAUCAUUUAUUUCUUAACUUAUAAAUUAAUAUAAUGGUGAAAUUAGACAACAUUCUCCGCCCUAUCCAAAGACAUCUUUUGGCCACUAAAUAGCUUCCAAAUUGUCGACUCUUAAGCACAUAAAACUCAAAAAGCCCCUCAAAACAGAUCCUCCAAUUAGAUGGAGCAGGAUCGAUCCUCUCAAUCCCGUCCUCCACAUGUCCUCGUCUUCCCCCUCCCAAUACAAGGCCAUAUAAACUCCAUGAUUAAGCUGGCUGAACUGCUAGCUAUCGCUGGCUUCAAGCUCACUUUCCUCAACUCCCACCACAACCAUGAACGCUUGGUCAAGUUCAACAAUAUUGCUGCCCAUUUUGAAAGAUACUCAGGGUUCCAAUUCAAGACCAUAACCGAUGGUCUCCCUCUUGAUCAUCCUAGGUCAGGGAACUGGUUCCUUGAUAUGUUUGAAGAUACCAUGGAACCUAAGAUGAAGGAAAGUUUGAGAGAGGUACUUGUGAAUAGUAGCCCGCCAGUGGAUUGCAUAAUUGGAGAUGGGUUUUUAGGCUUUGCUCUUGAUGUUGCAAAGGAGCUUGGAAUCCCCAUUAUUUUUUUUCGUACCAGCAGUCCUUGUUGUUUCUGGGUGUAUUAUUCUAUACCUGAUAUAAUCCAAGCUGGGGAGCUUCCUAUCAAUGGUAAAUCCACUUCUUUUUCAUCAACUUUGUUUAUUGUACCAUGUUUAGCACUGUUUUUAAUUUAGAAUAACACAAACCCUUAAGUCGAAAUGAUUUGACAAGCAUGUUGCAGAAAUUAACGAGAAAGACAUUUGGAAUAUUACUGUUAAUUAGGCGAGUUGAUUUGGUUUAAGUUGGAUUAAUUCGGAAUUUAAAAAUUUUAAAUCAUUUGAUGUUCGAUUGAUUUUGAAUUUUAAUUUUUGAAAGAGGUUUGGAUUGUUUCGGAUUCAAAUCACUUUGGGUUCUUGUCAUUUAGAUUUACCAAUUUGACUUUUAAAUUCAAGUUAUUUUGAAUCAUUCUAUUUACAGGUCACUUUAGGAUAAUUAGUUGGGUUUUUGUGUCCAUUUAUUUUAGGUUUGAGUCAUUCUGAUUACAAAUCAUUCCAGAUUGAUGGGUUUUUUAAGUUGAGUCAUUUCAGGAUUUUUUUUCAUUUAGGUUUAAUACUUAAGUUUGGACCACUUUGGUAACUUGUUCCUGUUGUUUUUAAGUUCGAGUCUUUCGAAGUUGCGAUCAUAUUUGGGUUUAGAUCAUUUCAAGUUUGAGUUGUUAAAUUUCUAUAAUUAAAUAAAUUUGAAUCUGAUAUGAGUUUGAAUUAAUUGGGUUUGUGGUCAUUGACACUAGUAAAUGGGUUUUUGUUAAACAAUUGAAGGAAGUGAAGACAUGGACCGGCUAAUAACGACAGUGCCAGGCAUGGAAACUUAUCUUCGAUGUCGAGAUCUGUUGCGCGGAAGCGUGUGAAAGAGUAAAAUUAUUGUACUGAAAAAUCACACUAAGUUCAAUUCCCAGGAAAGAGAGGUGGAUCACGAGGAUCGCUUACAUACCAGAUCUUUCCUAGCCAGAAUAUCCCUCUAUCGUAAUUUAAUAGCACAAUAAAUCACUACAAUGACACUUGCAAAAUAUGCAGAACAAAAAAUAAAGAACACUAGAAUUUUAAUGAGGUUCAGCAAAUUUUGCCUACGUCCUCGGGCACUACCAAAUAUAUUUCACUCCAAAAAUACAAGCGAAAGUUUACAAAUAAGGAGAGAGAACAAUUGCCUUAAGUAGAGAAUGGCAAGUGUGGGAUGAAGAAAGUAAGAGAUGGUUAGGCCUAUUUAUAGUUGAGGUUUAAGGAUCAACUUGCAAUGUCCCUAUACAAUUAGGGACCAAAAUUGCAAUUAUCCCAUGCCAACUUUUAACCCAACUUGCCAACCAAUCUUACUUUCUACUUUCGGUGCCAACUUUCUGCCACUAUUCAUCUUUGAAAAGUCAAAGAUUGUAGGUAUCCAAUAAUCUCCACCUUGAAGAUUUGAUUAGGAUAAUCUUAUCUUCACACAAUUCUUUCUUCCUUUGACAACAAUACUUGAUAGUGCCUUCUUCAACUGUUAAACUUGCAGGAUAUUGAUCAAGUUCAAACAAUGUUCGAACUUGGUUGUUGUUACCACCUUGGUCAUCAUAUCUGCGGGAUUAUCUGCAGUCUUGAUCUUCUGAAGACAAAUUUUCCCUUCUUCAAUAAUUUCCCGCACAAAAUGGAAUCGUACGUCGAUAUGUUUUGUACGUGCAUGAUAGACUUGAUUCUUUGCUAAAUGAAUAGCACUUUGACUAUCACAAUACACGUUAAUAUGCUCCUGAACCAACCCCAAGGUUUUAGCCAUACCUUGUAACCAAAUAGCCUCCUUUACAGCCUCUGUUACAGCCAUGUAUUCGGCUUCUGUGGUUGACAAUGCAACUGUAGACUGUAGUGUAGACUUCCAACUUAUUGGUCCUCCAGCAAGUGUAAACACAUAACCGGUGGUUGAUCUUCGCUUGUCCAAAUCACUGGCAUAGUCAGAAUCAACGUACCCAAUAACACCUUUACCAAGUGUAUUAUCCUGCUUGAACAGUAAUCCAACAUCCACGGUCUUCUGAAUAUACCGUAGAAUCCAUUUCACAGCUUGCCAAUGUCUUUUUCCAGGAUUAUGCAUAUACCUGCUCACUAUACUAACUGCCUGUGAAAUGUCGGGUCUUGUACACACCAUUGCAUACAUCAAGCUACCCACUGCAUUAGAAUACGGAACUUGCAACAUGUAUUCUCGUUCCGUAUUCGUCGAAGGAGAUAGUUGUGCAGAAAGCUUGAAAUGAGAAGCCAACGGGGUACUUACAGGUUUGGUUUGCUUGUUCAUGCCAAACUGCUGUAGUACUUUCUUCAAAUACUGCUUCUGAGACAAGCUAACUCUGCCAUGAGCUCUAUCUCUACAUAUUUCCAUGCCAAGAAUCUUCUUAGCUUCACCUAGAUCUUUCAUCUCAAACUCGAGAUUGAGUUGAGUCUUCAAUCUCUCAAUCUCAACUUUGCUCUUAGAUGCUAUCAGCAUAUCAUCAACAUAUAAGAGCAAGUAUAUGAAAGUUCCUUCUUGUAGCUUCUGAAAAUAUACGCAAUGAUCAAAUUUACUUCUUGUGUACCUUUGCCCUUUCAUGAACUGAUCAAAUCGCUUGUACCACUGCCUCGGAGAUUGUUUCAAUCCAUAAAGCGACUUUGUCAAUUUGCAAACCCAAUUUUCUUUAUCAGCAACAUUGAAUCCAUCAGGCUGAGUCAUAUAGAUUUCCUCUUCCAAAUCACCGUGUAAAAAUGCUGCCUUCACAUCAAGCUGAACUAGUUCAAGAUCGUAUUGCGCAACCAAGGCUAGCAAAAUUCGAAUAGAUGAAUGCUUCACAACUGGAGAAAACACUUCAUUGUAGUCUAUUCCUUCUUUCUGAGCGUAACCCUUUGCUACCAAUCUAGCCUUGUAUCGAAUUUCAUUUUUACCAGGAAAUCCUUCCUUCUUUGCAUAUACCCAUUUGCAUCCAAUUGCCUUCUUUCCCUUGGGCAGUCUCACCAACUCCCAAGUCCUAUUUUUAUGAAGAGACUGCAUUUCUUCAUUCAUAGCUUGCUUCCACUUUACACCAUCAGAGUUACUUAUUGCUUCUGUGUAAGUGGAAGGAACAUCAUCAUCUGUAAUUGGAAGUGCAUAGGCCACCAUAUCAUCAAAGCGAGCAGGCUUACGAAUCUCUCUUCUUGGCCUCCUAUAUGCAAUUGAAUCUUGCUGCUGUAGAAGUUCUUGGGUCGAAACUUCUUCAUCAUUUGUUCUUUCAAUAUUAGCUGGAUCAUCAUUAACCUUUUCAAACUCCACCUGCUGCAAAGUACUACUGGUUUUGUCAUCCUUUUGUGAAUCCUCGUUCUUCAUCAUGGUUGAUUCAUCAAAAGUUACAUCUCUACUGAAAACAAUCUUCCUUGUAUCAGGACACCAGAGACGGUAUCCUUUUACACCACCAGUUAUACCCAUGAAUAAUGCUUUCUUUGCUCUUGGGUCUAACUUAGAUUCUUUUACAUGAUAAUAUGCAGUGGAACCAAAAACAUGUAAAGAAUCAUAAUCAGUAGCAGGUUUACCAGUCCACAUCUCCAUAGGAGUUUUUCCAUUUAUUGCAGCUGAUGGCAAUCGGUUAAUUAGAUGGCACGCAUAUGUAACUGCCUCAGCCCAAAAUUCCUUGCCCAAUCCAGCAUUGGACAACAUACAUCGAACUUUCUCCAGUAUAGUCCGAUUCAUGCGUUCUGCCACCCCAUUCUACUGUGGUGUAUCUCGAACAGUGAAGUGUCGCACAAUGCCUUCAUCUUGACAUACUUGUAGAAAUGGAUCAUUUUUGUACUCAGUACCAUUAUCUGAUCGAAGUCGUUUGACCUUUCGACCUGUCUGAGUCUCCACCAUAUUCUUCCACUUCAGAAAUGCAUCCAAAACUUCAUUUUUUCUUUUCAUUAGAUACACCCAUACUUUUCUUGAAUAAUCAUCAAGAAAAGUGACAAAAUAGUGCAUACCUCCCAAAGAAGCCACUUUGGUAGGUCCCCACACAUCACUGUGAACAUAGUCUAGAAUUCCUUUCGUAUUGUGAAUUGCUGAACCAAAUUUUACCCUCGUCUGCUUGCCCAGAACACAAUGUUCACAGAAUUCCAAUUUGCAAGAAUUUGCACCUUUCAACAAGCCUUGCUUCGCCAAAGUCUGCAAAGCUUUUUCACCAGCAUGUCCCAAUCGCAUAUGCCAUAAUCUGGUAGCCUCUGAAUCUACAUCUUUUGUAGAAACUGUUGAUGUUGAUCCAAUAACUGUACUUCCAUUUAAAAAAUACAAGUUAUUUCUUCUUGUGCCUUUCAUCACCGUCAGUUGCCCAGCUACUACUUUUAGUAAUCCAUCUCUCAAAGUGAUUGUGAGCCCUUUAGAUUCUAGGGCACCUAAUGAGAUGAGAUUUUUCUUCAGGCUAGGUACGUAGCGAACAUCUGUCAAGACUUGGAUUGAGCCGUCGUGAUUCUUCAAUUGGACUGUACCCACUCCCAUUGUCUUACAAGCACUAUCAUUGCCCAUAAGAACAAUUCCACCUUCUAGCUCUUUAAGACUAGAAAACCAGUCCUUAUUAGGACACAUAUGGUAAGUACAUCCUGAAUUCAAAAUCCACUCAUCCGUUUGACAUGCCAUUGCCAUGCCAACCAAGCUAAAGUCUGACUCCUCAUCAUGCUCCGCUACACAUGCAUUAGAAAUAGCCUUGCCCUUUUGUAGCUUAGGACAAUUCUUUUUUCAAUGCCCUUUUUCACGGCAAAAGGCACAUUCAUCUUUGGCGGGUCUCCCUUUGGACUUUCCCCUUCUACCAGAUUUGCUGCUGUGUGAACGACCUCUUACUGUUAAGACUUCUGCGGUUGUAUCUCUGUGAUCUCUUUUAUCUUUCUUUCGAGUCUCAGGUCUAUACAAUGCACUACAGACUGCAUCAAAUGUGAUCGUGUCCUUCCCAUGAAGCAAUGUGGUGGUAAGAUGAUCAUAUUCAUCAGGAAGGGAAUUCAACAACAAUAAUGCCUUGUCUUCAUCUUCAAAUUUCUCAUCCAAAUUUAGCAAGUCUGCUAAAAUUUUAUUGAAUGAGUUCACAUGGUCAUUCAUCGACAUACCGGGUGCAUACGUGAAUUGAUAAAGUUUCUUUUUCAUAUAAAGCCUAUUUUCAAGACUUUUCGUUAGAAACUUUUCUUCCAGUGUAUCCCAUAACUUCUUCGCUGAUGUCUCCCUCAUGACAGAGUACUUCUGCUCUUUGGCCAAACAUAGGCGGAUUGUACCACACGCCUGUCUAUUGAUCUUGGCCCACUCCUUGUCAUCCAUCUUGUCAGGUUUUUCUUCAAGGGCUAUAUCUAGCUCUUGCUGACAUAAGACAUCCAGGAUCUCACAUUGCCACAUACCAAAAUUAUUGGUACCGUCAAAUUUCUCUACUUCAAAUUUUGCAUUUGUCACAGUAGUCCUUGCUGAUGACGAUGCUGCUGCCAUUUUUCUCCUCAAUCCCAACUACUGUAUACGUGAAUAGUACCGUAUACGUGAAUAGUGCCGUAUACGUGAAUAGUGCCGUAUACGUGAAUAGUACCGUAAACGGUCGUAUUCCCCAAGUACGAACCUGGCUCUGGUACCAAUUGUUGCGCGGAAGCGUGUGAAAGAGUAAAAUUAUUGUACUGAAAAAUCACACUAAGUUCAAUUCCCAGGAAAGAGAGGUGGAUCACGAGGAUCGCUUACAUACCAGAUCUUUCCUAGCCAGAAUAUCCCUCUAUCGUAAUUUAAUAGCACAAUAAAUCACUACAAUGACACUUGCAAAAUAUGCAGAACAAAAAAUAAAGAACACUAGAAUUUUAAUGAGGUUCAGCAAAUUUUGCCUACGUCCUCGGGCACUACCAAAUAUAUUUCACUCCAAAAAUACAAGCGAAAGUUUACAAAUAAGGAGAGAGAACAAUUGCCUUAAGUAGAGAAUGGCAAGUGUGGGAUGAAGAAAGUAAGAGAUGGUUAGGCCUAUUUAUAGUUGAGGUUUAAGGAUCAACUUGCAAUGUCCCUAUACAAUUAGGGACCAAAAUUGCAAUUAUCCUAUGCCAACUUUUAACCCAACUUGCCAACCAAUCUUACUUUCUACUUUCGGUGCCUUUCGGUGCCAACUUUCUGCCACUAUUCAUCUUUGAAAAGUCAAAGAUUGUAGGUAUCCAAUAAGAUCUUCCUACUUUUUCUCGAAGACUGGACAUUGAAGAUUCAAUUAUCAAGCUAGUCGUAAAACAGACACGAAAGAGCCUUCAAGCCGAUGCCUUGAUACUCAACACCGCCGAAGAGCUCGAUGGGCCUAUACUAUCUCAAAUACGCACCAAAUGCCCUCGUGUCUAUGCCGUUGGACC
This 24423-nucleotide long non-coding RNA is filed under the name Gossypium barbadense (sea-island cotton). Its description in RNAcentral is "long non-coding RNA (GBAR_LNC020395)". The record is from RNAcentral. Lineage: Eukaryota; Viridiplantae; Streptophyta; Magnoliopsida; Malvales; Malvaceae.